This 466-nucleotide ribosomal RNA is filed under the name uncultured bacterium. RNAcentral describes it as "bacterial SSU rRNA". It matches the Rfam family "Bacterial small subunit ribosomal RNA", at positions 198 to 644 of the family's 1533-position model. The record is from RNAcentral.
GGAGGAAAGUAGGGGAUCGCAAGCACCUUGCGCUUUUGGAGCGGCCGAUGUCUGAUUAGCUAAUUGGUAGGGUAAAGGCUUACCAAGGCUUCGAUCAGUAGCUGGUCUGAGAGGACGACCAGCCACACUGGGACUGAGACACGGCCCAGACUCCUACGAGAGGCAGCAAUAGGGAAUUUUGGACAAUGGGGGAAACCCUGAUCCAGCCAUGCCGCGUGAGUGAAGAAGGCCUUCGGAUUGUAAAGCUCUUUCAGCCGGAACGAAAAGAUUACGGCUAAUACCCGUGACAAAUGACGGUACCGGAAGAAGAAGCACCGGCUAACUACGUGCCAGCAGCCGCGGUAAUACGUAGGGUGCAAGCGUUAAUCGGAAUUACUGGGCGUAAAGCGUGCGCAAGCGGUUUUGUAAGUCAGAUGUGAAAUCCCCGGGCUUAACCUGGGAACUGCGUUUGAAACUACAAGGCUAG